GCUUAGCCUUAAACCCAAAUAAUUCUCCAACAAAACUAUUCGCCAGAGAACUACUAGCAAUCGCUUAAAACUCAAAGGACUUGGCGGUGCCUUAAAUCCAUCUAGAGGAGCCUGUUCUAUAACCGAUAAACCCCGAUAAACCUUACCUCUUCUUGCCAAUACAGCCUAUAUACCGCCAUCGUCAGCUCACCCUAACAAGGAAUUAAAGUAAGCGAGACAAUCCAUCAUAAAAACGUUAGGUCAAGGUGUAGCAUAUGAAGGGGAAAGUAAUGGGCUACAUUUUCUAUCCUAGAACAUAACGAAUAUACCUAAUGAAACCCGAGGUAUUGAAGGAGGAUUUAGCAGUAAAUUAAGAAUAGAGAGCUUAAUUGAAUUUGGCAAUAAGGCGCGC
This 391-nucleotide ribosomal RNA is filed under the name Pseudocheirus peregrinus (common ring-tailed possum). RNAcentral's name for it is "partial 12S ribosomal RNA". It matches the Rfam family "Bacterial small subunit ribosomal RNA", at positions 794 to 1384 of the family's 1533-position model. The record is from RNAcentral. Lineage: Eukaryota; Metazoa; Chordata; Mammalia; Diprotodontia; Pseudocheiridae.